This is a long non-coding RNA of Odocoileus virginianus texanus, 829 nucleotides long. RefSeq lists it as uncharacterized. The record is from RefSeq and is a predicted model, not a curated record. Lineage: Eukaryota; Metazoa; Chordata; Mammalia; Artiodactyla; Cervidae.
CAUUCCAGGGGCUGGGUGUAUCAAUCGCUGUCAUACAUCCUGUUCGGAAGUGCUCUUCUUAAUGGCUGCCUGAAGACUUGGGACUAUUUCUAAAUUGCCAUGGCUUCCUUGUGCCCAGUUGCCUCAAGACUCUGGGCUCUCAAGACACCCCAGGCUUUGUUAAACAAUGGAGAGCCUGGCUCCUGGGCUGGUGAAGAUGCAGAUCUGAAUGUAUAGAGGAUGGACCCAGACUUCCAGGAGACCUUCCCUGAGUUUUUCUGGCUGCCUCGAUCUUCUGUCAUUGUUUGCAGGGAGCAGGACCACCAGGUUAAUACAAUAGAGAGCUCAGCAAUUCUUAAGGAAAUCUUCAGAACAAAUCAUCUGAAGGUCUAACAAUCUGCUAGGAGACUCUGCUCUUGAUGCUGUUUGUAGCUCAACUUUAAUCGAAGCAUGAUUCUUUGACAUCCCAACCAUGAUCCCUUCCCCUUCCACCAAAAUCGCAUCCAAAUGGAAGCUUCAACAAGCCUCACUUCUUUCCCUGACACUGAAGCCACUGGGAUCAGAAUCACUGAUUCACUAUUGGCCUUGGAGAUUCUGCUUCUUACCAGGUGGUGAUGGGAUCUAUCCUAGAUGCAAAUUCAUGGAGAGAAGGAUAAUUAAGACCAUCUUCCUUACAUGAUCUGACUCCAUUAUAAACAGACCAUUUAUGUAAACUCAGCCUCAAGGCUGGGAUGUCCUUUUCACCAUACUUCCUGCUUGAGGUUCACAUGCUGGUAACUCAUUUCUUGCUGUAAAAGGCUGCAGUCAUCCUAGGCCUACUUUAAAAUGCAAAUAAAACUGGUCCCCCAUA